RNAcentral lists this ribosomal RNA (970 nucleotides) under Phanerochaete subodontoidea. RNAcentral describes it as "LSU rRNA". It matches the Rfam family "Eukaryotic large subunit ribosomal RNA", at positions 23 to 976 of the family's 3401-position model. The record is from RNAcentral. Lineage: Eukaryota; Fungi; Basidiomycota; Agaricomycetes; Polyporales; Phanerochaetaceae.
ACCCGCUGAACUUAAGCAUAUCAAUAAGCGGAGGAAAAGAAACUAACAAGGAUUCUCCUAGUAACUGCGAGUGAAGCGGGAAAAGCUCAAAUUUAAAAUCUGGUAGUCUUUGGCUGCCCGAGUUGUAGUCUGGAGAAGUGUCUUCCGCGCCGGACCGUGUACAAGUCUCUUGGAACAGAGCGUCAUAGAGGGUGAGAAUCCCGUCUUUGACACGGACUACCGGUGCUUUGUGAUGCGCUCUCAAAGAGUCGAGUUGUUUGGGAAUGCAGCUCAAAAUGGGUGGUAAAUUCCAUCUAAAGCUAAAUAUUGGCGAGAGACCGAUAGCGAACAAGUACCGUGAGGGAAAGAUGAAAAGCACUUUGGAAAGAGAGUUAAACAGUACGUGAAAUUGCUGAAAGGGAAACGCUUGAAGUCAGUCGCGUCGUCCAGAACUCAACCUGGCUUUAAUUGCUGGGUGCACUUUCUGGUAGACGGGCCAACAUCAGUUUUGACUGCUGGAAAAAAGCCUUUGGAAUGUGGCACCUUCGGGUGUGUUAUAGCCUUGGGUUGUAUACAGCGGUGGGGACUGAGGACCGCAGCACGCCUUUAUGGCCGGGGUUCGCCCACGUACGUGCUUAGGAUGUUGGCGUAAUGGCUUUAAGCGACCCGUCUUGAAACACGGACCAAGGAGUCUAACAUGCCUGCGAGUGUUUGGGUGGCAAACCCGAGCGCGCAACGAAAGUGAAAGUUGGGAUCCCUGUCGUGGGGAGCACCGACGCCCAUACCAGACCUUCUGUGACGGAUAUGCGGUUGAGCAUGUAUGUUGGGACCCGAAAGAUGGUGAACUAUGCCUGAAUAGGGUGAAGCCAGAGGAAACUCUGGUGGAAGCUCGUAGCGAUUCUGACGUGCAAAUCGAUCGUCAAAUUCGGGUAUAGGGGCGAAAGACUAAUCGAACCAUCUAGUAGCUGGUUCCUGCCGAAGUUUCCCUCAG